GACGAACGCUGGCGGCGUGCUUAACACAUGCAAGUCGAGCGGUAAGGCCCCUUCGGGGGUACACGAGCGGCGAACGGGUGAGUAACACGUGAGCAAUCUGCCCUUCACACGGGGAUAACUUCGGGAAACCGGAGCUAAUACCCGAUACGACCACCUCGGGCAUCCGAUGGUGGUGGAAAGCUCCGGCGGUGAAGGAUGAGCUCGCGGCCUAUCAGCUUGUUGGUGGGGUAACGGCCCACCAAGGCAACGACGGGUAGCCGGCCUGAGAGGGUGAUCGGCCACACUGGGACUGAGACACGGCCCAGACUCCUACGGGAGGCAGCAGUGGGGAAUAUUGGACAAUGGGCGAAAGCCUGAUCCAGCAACGCCGCGUGAGGGAUGACGGCCUUCGGGUUGUAAACCUCUUUCAGCAGGGACGAAGCGCAAGUGACGGUACCUGCAGAAGAAGCACCGGCCAACUACGUGCCAGCAGCCGCCGUAA
Molecule: ribosomal RNA, 481 nt
Filed under: uncultured bacterium
Lineage: Bacteria
Description: partial 16S ribosomal RNA
Rfam family: Bacterial small subunit ribosomal RNA
Source: RNAcentral